AUACGAAGGUCCCAAGCGUUAUUCGGAAUCACUGGGCGCAAAGAGUACGUAGGCGGUUUGGUAAGUCAGGUGUGAAAUCCCGGAGCUCAACUCCGGAACUGCAUCCGAUACUGCCAGACUUGAGUAAUGGAGAGGCAGGUGGAAUUCUCGGUGUAGCGGUGAAAUGCGUGGAUAUCGAGAGGAAGACCAAUGGCGAAGGCAGCCUGCUGGACAUUUACUGACGCUGAGGUACGAAGGCUAGGGGAGCGAAAGGGAUUAGAUACCCCAGUAGUCC
Molecule: ribosomal RNA, 274 nt
Filed under: uncultured bacterium
Lineage: Bacteria
Description: partial 16S ribosomal RNA
Rfam family: Bacterial small subunit ribosomal RNA
Source: RNAcentral